UACCCUGACCCUAGAAAUUCCCCCCCCCCCCUUAAAAACUUCUACCUGAGUUAUUCUGGGAUGUAUAUCAUUUCAGAGUGUCCUAAAAACAAACCGAUUUCGGGUGUUUCUGUGAUGGCAAGUUAUGCUUGUGCCUAGGACAGUGGUGAUGGGGAAGGCGGGGUUGGGAUUACUUCCUGUUGGGGCCAACCGUGAACUAAUAGGGCCAGGAGAUAAUUAAGAUUCAAGGGGUACUGAGUUCCAGUUAAGCAAAGGAUAGGCUAUACCAGGUAAAUUCCCUUGUUCAUCAGUUCCCCACACAGAAUUUGGGGCAUCUUGGUUUCAGUGUUCACCUACUUCUUUCAUGUUUUCCUGCUGCCCUUUGCUCCUAUCAUGAAGGCGAGCCCAGCACACCACCUUGCCCCUGCCCCAGGCAUGGUGUCGAGGAAAUAGAGUUUGGAAGGAAGGGUUCAACCCAGCCUUCUCAGAAGAGGAAAAGUUUGGUCUGAAAUACGACAAAAACUUUGGAGAGGACCUGAGAUGAGGUCUGUAAAUUGUGAUGUGUGAUGCUUCUCUUCCCUGGGGCAGAUUUUUUUACAAUCCAGAAAUAAAACCAAGAAUCCCUUGGAGACCUUUAGGGGAAGCCUACCUGGUGGCAGCCCCUGCAUGGCUAUUUCCAGGAAAGUAUGGCGCUUCCACAUACCUGUGUCCUUCCGAGGUGUGUUCUUACCCUUCCAGAAUUAAUUAAUGUUCAAGGGCAAGCCUAGCAUUCCAGGGAGGUUUUUUACAACCGGAGAAGAGCUGGAAUUCACUUGAGUUCUGGCAGAAUAGAGAAUUUAUCUACCUAACCUGAGGGCCAGAAUAGAUCUAUUUUGUCUUCUGUCUUCAAGUUAGAUUAUAAAAUACCGUAUUUAUCCUACAAGCCUAACCUCUCUGUUAGACCGAGCCACAGAUUGCCAUUUUUUAAGACAAACAGUUUUCAGUUUACUUCGGCCAGUUCCUCUUUCGGUAAGUAUCCAGAAACUUCUGGGAAACAUCUGGGGUUUGCAUCCAAACUGAGUGAAGAUCAGCUGAGUUUUCUUCAAAUGGGUCUUUUUCACCUCUUUAAGUGGAAGUGGAGAAGAAUUGGGCAUGUGUAGAAAAGGUGGUGUGGAGGAGCCCUGUUGUCCUUGACUGGGAUUCUUGUGGCAGUGUCCCUGGAGGGGUGUCUCUAAAGAGGAGAGCGAGGGGUGAGGAAUAGGGCGGGAAGAAGCCCCCAAGGUCAGGCCACCAGAACCAUCAUUUCACAGAUGGGAAACUGAGGCAGGCACUGAGCCAUGGCUGACUCCAGCAUGGAAGCAGAUCUCAGCCCCCUGUCCUGAAGUCCCUGUCUACCUCCCGUCACCUCCCUCCCUUUUCUGGCCCACCUGCCUUUCAGUGUUGAUCACUUUACAAACAGGGACAGAUUAUAGCUGAGAAGGAAAAGUCGGGGAGUUCCUGUUGUGGCAUAGCAAAAAUGAAUCCGACUAGGAUUCGUGAGGGAUAUGGGUUCAAUCCCUGGCCCCACUCAUGGGUUAAGGAUCUGGUGUUGCCCUGAGCUGCAGUGUAGAUUGCAAAUGCGGCUCAGAUCCUGCUUUGCUGUGGCUGUGGUGUAGGCUGGCAGCUGUAGCCCCGAUUCAACCCCUAGCCUGGGGUAUAGCCAGGUAUAGCCUUAAAAAAAAAUUAUGCAUUUUAUUCAUACACACACACACACACACACACACACACACAUAUAUAUAUAUAUAUACACACACACACAUUUUUUUUCAGAUUCUUUUCCCAUAUAGGCUAUCAAAAAGUUUGGAAGAAUAUUAAAAGUUUGGAAAAAGCAAUAAGCAUAACUAUGACCUGCAUGGCUGGGGCUGGGAUUACUGUAGGGGACAGACCAGACCAGUGACCAGUUGUUGUGACCAUUGAAUGAGGGUUAGAACAGUCAGUAGCCAGACUGACUCUGCAGAAUUCCAUCUACACCCCCGCACACACACACACACCCCCACACACACACCCACACACACACCGUUAAGCCCUCAGGUGCCAGGAAGACUGGAGUUGCUGUCUUCUUAGAUAUUUAUGUGUCCACUGUCCAAAAGGGUAAAGCCCAGACCUUGGAAACAUUUCAAGAUCAUAAAAUCCAGGCCCAGGAGACUCUGUGACUCCUGAAGAUAUUUUAUUUAUAUCCCAAAAGGUCAAGGUAAGAACCCAGGGUCCUUUCCCCUCCCAUCUUAAAGGAGCAAAGGUUUCUCUCCUUCUUUUCUAGACAUGGAAAAAAGCACUUCCUUUUCUCCUGCAGUUCCCGAAGCUCUGGGAUGUAUCUGCCCCUGUAGAAAGUCCUCAUUUGGAAAUUCCUCUUCUGGCUUACUGGGUUAAGAACCUGACACAGUGGCCAUGAGGAUGUGGGUUUGAUUCCUGGCCUCGAUUAGUGGGUUAAGGAUCUGGCAUUGCCAUGAGCUGUGUGUAGGUCACAGGCUCGGCUUGGAUCCCGUGUUGCUGUGGCUGUGGUGUCGGCCGGCAGCUGUAACUCUGAUUCAACCCCUAGCCUGGGAGCCUCCAUAUGCCGCAGGUGCAGGGGGUGAAAAAAAGAGAAUGUCCGUCAGCUCUCAUCAUCUCGCCCAGGAGUCUGGGUCUGGGAGCCGACUCUGCAGGGUCUGUGGCUGUGUGGUAUGGGUGUGUGUAUCCGCAGAGAGCACCUUCCCCAACCACUGCCUUGGGAUUCUGCCGUGUCCACGUAUCUAAAGCACAUAACUGGAAGUGGGCAACAUCUCAGAGCCUGCACGUUUUGAUGAACCGGUCCAUACACUGGGCUCUUUGCUGGUCCAGAGAAUCCCGGGUCCCUGUGUGUGGAUCAGGUCUGAGGACCCAGGAAGCACAGGACACGGGGUGUGUCAGCAGGACUGAGUGACUUCAGACAACCUCACUGGCAUUCCUUCUUUUACCAAAGAGACCCUGUGUAUCACUAAGCGGCCAAUUGUAGCUGGAUUCUUUUACAGUAAAGUGUAGUUCUAAUGCAAUGCCUCUGUCCACGCUGUUCCUGAAAGGAGUGAAAAAAAUGCUGGCGUCUCCCGGUGUUUCCACUUUUGAUCUGUCUCAUCUGGGAAUUUAAUACAUUUUCUGAUCAAAGUCCAAAGUCUCUGCUUUGCUCCAGCUUUAAUCUUUGGCUAUAAAGUCUCCCUUCUGUUACACACACACACACACACACACACACACACACACACACACACACAUCAGUUUACAGCCAAACAGCAGUUUCGUUUGGGGGACUGGAGGGGUGAGUAGGGAAUACAUAUCUAGAUAAAGGGGUAAUCAAUGCCUUCACUAUGGGAAGGUAGUUUGGACAGUUCAGGUAAACGUUAACCAUUUUUCAUGUAAGUGUUCAGUAUGUUUGAGAUCUUUAAUUCUAUACACUGAAUUUUGUUCAUUGUUGAAAUGGCCCUAAGCCAUAUUUUUCUGUUAUUUUAAAAAAUAUUUAUGUUGAGAAAAAGACGGAAAAUAAUUUAAAUUCAAAUAUUUCUCAAACUCCAUAUUCACUUAUGUUACUUUUUUUUUUUUGAGAAAAAAAAUUUGUUUCCCUUAAGAAAAGUGAUAACAUUUAUCAAGAAGUCCAAAGGAUCCCUUCACAAAGGAAAACUCCUUUACCUCCCCUGACAGUGAGUUGUUCAGACAG
This 3658-nucleotide long non-coding RNA is filed under the name Sus scrofa (pig). Its description in RNAcentral is "lncRNA (ENSSSCG00005011061.1)". The record is from RNAcentral. Lineage: Eukaryota; Metazoa; Chordata; Mammalia; Artiodactyla; Suidae.